RNAcentral lists this ribosomal RNA (439 nucleotides) under uncultured bacterium. RNAcentral describes it as "partial 16S ribosomal RNA". It matches the Rfam family "Bacterial small subunit ribosomal RNA", at positions 338 to 795 of the family's 1533-position model. The record is from RNAcentral.
CCUACGGGUGGCAGCAGUGGGGAAUAUUGCACAAUGGGGGAAACCCUGAUGCAGCGACGCCGCGUGAGUGCAGAAGUAAUUCGUUAUGUAAAGCUCUAUCAGCAGGGAAGAAAAUGACGGUACCUGAGUCAGAAGCCCCGGCUAACUACGUGCCAGCAGCCGCGGUAAUACGUAGGGGGCAAGCGUUAUCCGGAUUUACUGGGUGUAAAGGGAGCGUAGACGGCAGUGCAAGUCUGAAGUGAAAGGCGGGGCUCAACCCCCGGACUGUUCUGGAAACUGUACGGCUGGAGUGCAGGAGAGGUAAGUGGAAUUCCUAGUGUAGCGGUGAAAUGCGUAGAUAUUAGGAGGAACACCAGUGGCGAAGGCGGCUUACUGGACUGUAACUGACGUUGAGGCUCGAAAGCGUGGGGAGCAAACAGGAUUAGAUACCCUAGUAGUC